Molecule: transfer RNA, 70 nt
Filed under: Marmota monax (woodchuck)
Lineage: Eukaryota; Metazoa; Chordata; Mammalia; Rodentia; Sciuridae
Description: tRNA.Ala
Rfam family: tRNA (bases 6-65)
About the family: Transfer RNA (tRNA) molecules are approximately 80 nucleotides in length. Their secondary structure includes four short double-helical elements and three loops (D, anti-codon, and T loops). Further hydrogen bonds mediate the characteristic L-shaped molecular structure. tRNAs have two regions of fundamental functional importance: the anti-codon, which is responsible for specific mRNA codon recognition, and the 3' end, to which the tRNAs corresponding amino acid is attached (by aminoacyl-tRNA synthetases). tRNAs cope with the degeneracy of the genetic code in two manners: having more than one tRNA (with a specific anti-codon) for a particular amino acid; and 'wobble' base-pairing, i.e. permitting non-standard base-pairing at the 3rd anti-codon position.
Source: RNAcentral
GAGGCUGUAGCUCAGUGGUAGAGCACCCGCCUUGCACGUGUGAAACACUGGGUUUGAUCUCAGCACCACA